GGGUCAGUAGGUUGGUCGUGCCACCGGUACGUACUGGUCUCACUGAUUCCUCCUUCCUGAAGAACCGUAAUGCCAUUAAUUUGGUGUUGCGGGGAAACAGGACUGUUACUUUGAAAAAAUUAGGGUGUUUAAAGCAAGCUAACGCCUGAAUACAUUAGCAUGGAAUAAUGAAAUAGGACGAUCGAUCCUAUUUUGUUGGUUUCUAGGAUUGACGUA
This 216-nucleotide ribosomal RNA is filed under the name Glomeromycotina sp. RNAcentral describes it as "partial small subunit ribosomal RNA". The stretch from base 40 to 216 matches the Rfam family "Eukaryotic small subunit ribosomal RNA", at positions 686 to 864 of the family's 1831-position model. Lineage: Eukaryota; Fungi; Glomeromycota. The record is from RNAcentral.